RNAcentral lists this ribosomal RNA (259 nucleotides) under uncultured bacterium. RNAcentral's name for it is "partial 16S ribosomal RNA". It matches the Rfam family "Bacterial small subunit ribosomal RNA", at positions 524 to 776 of the family's 1533-position model. The record is from RNAcentral.
UACGGAGGGUGCGAGCGUUGUCCGGAAUCAUUGGGCGUAAAGGGCGCGUAGGUGGCCACUUCAAGCGUGCGGUGAAAGUCGGGGGCUCAACCCCUGAUCGGCCGUGCGAACUGGGGGGCUGGAGCACUGUAGAGGCAGGCGGAAUUCCGGGUGUAGCGGUGGAAUGCGUAGAGAGUCCGGAAGAACACCGGUGGCGAAGGCGGCCUGCUGGGCAGUUUUGCUGACACUGAGGCGCGGACAGCGGUGGGGAGCAAACAGG